UACGGAGGGUGCAAGCGUUAUCCGGAUUUACUGGGCUUAAAGGGUGCGUAGGCGGGUAGGAAAGUCAGUGGUGAAAUCUUCGGGCUUAACCCGGAAACUGCCAUUGAUACUAUUUAUCUUGAAUACUUUGGAGGUAAGCGGAAUAUGUCAUGUAGCGGUGAAAUGCUUAGAUAUGACAUAGAACACCAAUGGCGAAGGCAGCUUACUGGACAGUUAUUGACACUGAGGCGCGAAAGCGUGGGGAGCAAACAGG
This 253-nucleotide ribosomal RNA is filed under the name uncultured bacterium. RNAcentral describes it as "partial 16S ribosomal RNA". It matches the Rfam family "Bacterial small subunit ribosomal RNA", at positions 524 to 776 of the family's 1533-position model. The record is from RNAcentral.